This is a non-coding RNA of Cinara cedri, 1111 nucleotides long. NCBI's taxonomy places the organism in Eukaryota, Metazoa, Arthropoda, Insecta, Hemiptera, Aphididae. The record is from the annotation of a GenBank genome assembly.
UUCAUGAUAACAAAGUGGCUAACAGGUUAGUCAAAUUUACUUCCUACUCUAUUCUAUCUUCCUUUGCUCAAUUACCAUGGACUGAUUUUACCUCUAUACUACGCCGUCACACAACAAUCUUUGAUCCAACUACUAGAAUAACCUGCCGGAAUAACAACCUAGAUUUACCCAUAUCUACUAUUGUCCAUUUUAACAGACUCCACAUUAGUCAUUCGCUUCUUCCUGAUCUGGUCUACAAACUUAGCUUAAAUGGACUCUCCCCUCUGCACACUACACUCAACUGAAAGUGUCUGCGACCUCUUUCAUCUAUUCUUUGACUGUUUCUCAUUAUACUCAAAGUGUUUAAUUUUGCUCAGUUUCUUGAAUUUCAUAACAACUUCUUUAUACUCAACUUUAAAUCCCAAUUGAUCAUAAUUAUGGUAAUUAAUUCAGUAUUGGAAGCUGGUUUUGUGAUGAAAUAUUUGUGUUUAUUUUUUCUUUAGCUUAAUUUUGUUUUUCUAAAUAAGUGUCGAGAUGCUAGUCAUUGACUAGAAGCUAACUAACAGAAUAUCUAUUUACCCCUAAAACCAUUAGUAUUAUGGAUACUGUAUAUCAGGUGGGCCACGUAUUUUUUUUUAAAUCUCGGUGGCCAUAUACAGUAAUAUGUCCUCAGAGAAUUUUCUAGGUGUCAGACCUCAGCCAACCGAAUUCUGACUAUUAAAUUAAUACUUAAUAAUCAGGCUUAACAACCAAUUCUCUAUGAAAUAGACAUGUAAUCUAAUUUGUUUUAUCGCAUUGGAUAUAAAUAAGGUGACUAAACUCUUUGAUAGAGAUGUUCAAUAGAUACUCUUAAUUGAUCAAAACAGAAAAAAUACACAUUAUGCCUAAAAUGUGUUAGUGGGCCAUGCAUAAAGGCAAGGUGGGCCGCACGUCACUCACGGGUUGAAAACUCCUGCAGCUGUAUAUCAUAAGAUUCAAGUUAUUUUAAACAAUUCUUGAAGAGGUCAUCUUAUAAGAAAAAAAAAUGUAGGUGUCGCGAUUCAUAAAAGGCUGAAAACCAUUACAAAUUUUAAAAAUUGCGUUAAAAAUAUGUACCAAACAGAAUAAUGGUGUUUACAACUCUAGAAAUUGG